Molecule: ribosomal RNA, 1084 nt
Filed under: Bacteroides fragilis
Lineage: Bacteria; Pseudomonadati; Bacteroidota; Bacteroidia; Bacteroidales; Bacteroidaceae
Description: bacterial SSU rRNA
Rfam family: Bacterial small subunit ribosomal RNA
Source: RNAcentral
UGGAACUGAGACACGGUCCAAACUCCUACGGGAGGCAGCAGUGAGGAAUAUUGGUCAAUGGGCGGUAGCCUGAACCAGCCAAGUAGCGUGAAGGAUGAAGGCUCUAUGGGUCGUAAACUUCUUUUAUAUAAGAAUAAAGUGCAGUAUGUAUACUGUUUUGUAUGUAUUAUAUGAAUAAGGAUCGGCUAACUCCGUGCCAGCAGCCGCGGUAAUACGGAGGAUCCGAGCGUUAUCCGGAUUUAUUGGGUUUAAAGGGAGCGUAGGUGGACUGGUAAGUCAGUUGUGAAAGUUUGCGGCUCAACCGUAAAAUUGCAGUUGAUACUGUCAGUCUUGAGUACAGUAGAGGUGGGCGGAAUUCGUGGUGUAGCGGUGAAAUGCUUAGAUAUCACGAAGAACUCCGAUUGCGAAGGCAGCUCACUGGACUGCAACUGACACUGAUGCUCGAAAGUGUGGGUAUCAAACAGGAUUAGAUACCCUGGUAGUCCACACAGUAAACGAUGAAUACUCGCUGUUUGCGAUAUACAGUAAGCGGCCAAGCGAAAGCAUUAAGUAUUCCACCUGGGGAGUACGCCGGCAACGGUGAAACUCAAAGGAAUUGACGGGGGCCCGCACAAGCGGAGGAACAUGUGGUUUAAUUCGAUGAUACGCGAGGAACCUUACCCGGGCUUAAAUUGCAGUGGAAUGAUGUGGAAACAUGUCAGUGAGCAAUCACCGCUGUGAAGGUGCUGCAUGGUUGUCGUCAGCUCGUGCCGUGAGGUGUCGGCUUAAGUGCCAUAACGAGCGCAACCCUUAUCUUCAGUUACUAACAGGUCAUGCUGAGGACUCUGGAGAGACUGCCGUCGUAAGAUGUGAGGAAGGUGGGGAUGACGUCAAAUCAGCACGGCCCUUACGUCCGGGGCUACACACGUGUUACAAUGGGGGGUACAGAAGGCAGCUAGCGGGUGACCGUAUGCUAAUCCCAAAAUCCUCUCUCAGUUCGGAUCGAAGUCUGCAACCCGACUUCGUGAAGCUGGAUUCGCUAGUAAUCGCGCAUCAGCCACGGCGCGGUGAAUACGUUCCCGGGCCUUGUACACACCGCCCGUCA